RNAcentral lists this unclassified non-coding RNA (378 nucleotides) under Hevea brasiliensis (rubber tree). Lineage: Eukaryota; Viridiplantae; Streptophyta; Magnoliopsida; Malpighiales; Euphorbiaceae. The record is from RNAcentral.
CGCAAUGCGCAAUUACUAUCUGCUGUAUGGUGGAAAACAUAAUAUUUGAAUUGUGGUUGCUCAUAUCUAUUUGAAGGAUGCCAAAAGCAUUAUGAUUAUAUCAGCAGUUAUUUAAAAUUAUAUUCACAGUUGUCAAAAAAUACUACUGUGAUUGAGUGGAGUCACAUAGCUAAUAGAGUUGACUGAUUGCACUUUUUCAUGUAUUAGUGUUGUAUGGAAGCUGCGUGGUCCAACUACCAAAAAUGCUUCAAAUCUGUUGUGCUUACUUAUGGUAAAAAUUUGUAUUGCAUGAUUCCAUUUCCAAAUUCCAACUGAAGAGGGGGUGGGUGGAAAUAGAAGACCACCUAUAGAGGCAUGUAUGCCUAACAUUGUUUAGUC